RNAcentral lists this ribosomal RNA (446 nucleotides) under uncultured bacterium. RNAcentral's name for it is "partial 16S ribosomal RNA". It matches the Rfam family "Bacterial small subunit ribosomal RNA", at positions 338 to 795 of the family's 1533-position model. The record is from RNAcentral.
CCUACGGGGGGCAGCAGUCGAGAAUCAUUCACAAUGGGGGAAACCCUGAUGGUGCGACGCCGCGUGGGGGAAUGAAGGUCUUCGGAUUGUAAACCCCUGUCAUGUGGGAGCAAAUUAAAAAGAUAGUACCACAAGAGGAAGAGACGGCUAACUCUGUGCCAGCAGCCGCGGUAAUACAGAGGUCUCAAGCGUUGUUCGGAAUCACUGGGCGGAAAGCGUGCGUAGGCUGUUUCGUAAGUCGUGUGUGAAAGGCGCGGGCUCAACCCGCGGACGGCACAUGAUACUGCGAGACUAGAGUAAUGGAGGGGGAACCGGAAUGCUCGGUGUAGCAGUGAAAUGCGUAGAUAUCGAGAGGAACACUCGUGGCGAAGGCGGGUUCCUGGACAUUAACUGACGCUGAGGCACGAAGGCCAGGGGAGCGAAAGGGAUUAGAUACCCUGGUAGUC